AGUCUCAGAAGAAGACAAUAUCAACAAGUUAAAUAAAUCAAGCACUUUUGCAAAGAAACUCUUUUAAUAUAGUAAUUGUUAUGUUAAAAAAGAAUAAGUACCACGAAUUAUUGCGGAUGUUUAUAGAUCAGUCGAAUUCUGAAUUGUUGUUGUCUGACCCAACUGAUACUCUUGCGAAUGCUAUUAGAAGAAUUGCCAAUUCUAAAUACUUCCUGCAACAAUGGGCGUUUAAACCUCUUAAUGCCCCAUACCCACCUAGAUUGUUCAGGUACGUAAAAACUCACAAAACACCUGUUAAUGU
This 301-nucleotide long non-coding RNA is filed under the name Androctonus crassicauda. The record is from RNAcentral. Lineage: Eukaryota; Metazoa; Arthropoda; Arachnida; Scorpiones; Buthidae.